Molecule: long non-coding RNA, 212 nt
Filed under: Hordeum vulgare
Lineage: Eukaryota; Viridiplantae; Streptophyta; Magnoliopsida; Poales; Poaceae
Description: long non-coding RNA (HVUL_LNC016836)
Source: RNAcentral
UGCGAGGCUGAGAGUGUAGUAUAGCGGGGGACGAGGUCAAAUAAGGAAUAUUCUCUAUAUUCAGAAUCAUGGCCCAUCGACCUACCCUAAUUUCUGUGACGAGUGUCAUCUCAAAAGCAUCAGCUGGAUGACUCUUAACGAUAUGCGCCAUGGUUAAACCGACAAGGAAAAAGUAUUAAAAAUGAAAAAAUUGUUCAUGAAUUUGAUAAAAG